GGAAUGCUGUUAAUACGAAUAUAAUAAAUUGUACUAAAUAUUUUUUCACGCGAAUUUCUUCGUUUUAAUCGUAAAACAAAUAAAAUGUAUGGAAAUAAGGGAACACGCAACUCUUCUUCAACGAUCACCACGGUGGUAUAUAUAUAUAUAUAAAUACGAGCGUAUUAUUUACUAAAGACGUUUCAAUGAAAGAAACCGAUUCAGGUGGAAAAAAGAAAUGUUUGCGAAAAAAAGAAACAGUAAAGAGAUAAAGAAGUUGAAAAAAGGAGGAUGGGAAGGGGGCCACGCUUCGCAAGUAGAGCACGCAUCGUGCCGAGGGCACAGGUAAUCGCGCGCGCACCGAACAUUGCGCGCUUACGUAUCCUCCCUCUCCGCCCCCGCCCUUUCUAUUCCUUCUCCCACUCUAUCACCUCUAUUUCUAUCUUUCUCCCGCGUUCUCCCUUCUUCACCUCUUCAUCCUCAACCCCCCCCCUCGGUCGCCCUUUUCUACCACUACGCGCGCAUAGCGCUCUUACAAAACUCUCUACGCACACACUUACACGUACAAUAUUCUCUAUAUACGAUGAGUGUGUAUAAUACAUCGCGACGUACUACACGAGACGAUCCGCCGCGCACGCGAGGCCGAACAAGCAAACAAUACACAUACAAAACCAAGUGUUUCUAUCCAUAGUUAGAAACUAAUCGGCCAAAGGAUUAUUGCGGGUCACCGGGUGUUCAACCUUCCGUAUAUACCUAACACGGUUCGAUACCAUGAGAAACACCGGCUCGAUUAUUAUAAAUAGAGAGCCGCCGAAAUGUUUGCGUCAUUCGGCUUAUAACGAUGAUGGUAACAACGACAAUGACAA
This 845-nucleotide long non-coding RNA is filed under the name Polistes fuscatus (common paper wasp). Its description in RNAcentral is "uncharacterized LOC122515693". The record is from RNAcentral. Lineage: Eukaryota; Metazoa; Arthropoda; Insecta; Hymenoptera; Vespidae.